GAUGAAGAACGCAGCGAAAUGCGAUAAGUAGUGUGAAUUGCAGAAUUCAGUGAAUCAUCGAAUCUUUGAACGUACAUUGCGCCCCUUGGUAUUCCAUGGGGCAUGCCUGUUCGAGCGUCAUUUGUACCUUCAAGCUUUGCUUGGUGUUGGGUGUUUGUCCUGAGGGACUCGCCUUAAAGUGAUUGGCAGCCAGUGUUUGGUUUUGAAGCGCAGCACAAGUCGCGAUUCAAAGCUAUACGCCCGCUUCCACAAGCCUUUUUCACUUUUGACCUCGGAUCAGGUAGGGAUACCCGCUGAACUUAAGCAUAUCAAUAAGCGGAGGA
This 323-nucleotide unclassified non-coding RNA is filed under the name soil metagenome. Its description in RNAcentral is "partial contains 5.8S ribosomal RNA, internal transcribed spacer 2, and large subunit ribosomal RNA". The stretch from base 1 to 120 matches the Rfam family "5.8S ribosomal RNA", at positions 35 to 154 of the family's 154-position model. The record is from RNAcentral.